Molecule: ribosomal RNA, 774 nt
Filed under: uncultured Neocallimastigales
Lineage: Eukaryota; Fungi; Neocallimastigomycota; Neocallimastigomycetes; Neocallimastigales
Description: partial large subunit ribosomal RNA
Rfam family: Eukaryotic large subunit ribosomal RNA
Source: RNAcentral
UCAGACGAUGCGUCAUGCAUAUCAAUAAGCGGAGGAAAAGAAACUAACAAGGAUUCCCUAGUAACGGCGAGUGAAGCGGGAAGAGCUCAAAUUUGAAAUCUUCAAGGUUUUACCUUGACGAAUUGUAGUUUAAAGAAGUGUUUUCUGUUGAAGUUUUGGUAAAAGUUCUUUGGAAUAGGACAUCAUAGAGGGUGAGAAUCCCGUAUUUGACCAUUAUUUUCAGCUGUGUGAUAGCACUUUCAAAGAGUCGGAUUGUUUGGGAAUGCAGUCCAAAAUGGGUGGUAAAUUUCAUCUAAAGCUAAAUAUUGGCGAGAGACCGAUAGCGAACAAGUACCGUGAGGGAAAGAUGAAAAGAACUUUGAAAAGAGAGUUAAACAGUACGUGAAAUUGUCAAAAGGGAAGCGUUUGACACCAGUGUUGUUUUCUCGAAAAUCAAUUAAAAAGAGUUGGAUUUUGUGUUGUAUUGACCUUAACAGCUUGCUUCACUCUUUUCCUGCUUUUUUUAAUGCACUUUUCGUUUAACAAGUCAACAUCAGUUUCUUUUGUUGUAAAAGGGUCAUUGGAAGGUGGCUUUCUCUUCGGAGAAAGUGUUUAUAGCCUUUGAUCUCUGCAAUCGGAGAGACUGAGGUCUGCAGCGUAGAUCCUUCGGGGUUAGAUACAUUUGUGCUAAGCUACAGCUUUUCAUAGACAACUUGUUGACUAUGUUUAGUCUUGUAACUUACCCGCUUAUGCUAUUUUACCUACGCUUAGGAUGUUGAUAUGCAUGACUGAUAU